Molecule: ribosomal RNA, 320 nt
Filed under: uncultured Prevotella sp.
Lineage: Bacteria; Pseudomonadati; Bacteroidota; Bacteroidia; Bacteroidales; Prevotellaceae
Description: bacterial SSU rRNA
Rfam family: Bacterial small subunit ribosomal RNA
Source: RNAcentral
GAUGAACGCUAGCUACAGGCUUAACACAUGCAAGUCGAGGGGCAGCAUGUCGGUUGCUUGCAACCGAUGAUGGCGACCGGCGCACGGGUGAGUAACGCGUAUCCAACCUUCCCCAUAGUAGAGAAUAGCCCGGCGAAAGUCGGAUUAAUGCUCUAUGUUGUAUUUUGAUGACAUCUGAAGAAUACCAAAGGUUCACCGCUAUGGGAUGGGGAUGCGUCUGAUUAGGUUGUUGGCGGGGUAACGGCCCACCAAGGCGACGAUGCGUAGGGGUUCUGAGAGGAAGGUCCCCCACACUGGUACUGAGACACGGACCAGACUCC